UAACUAAAUAGAGGGAGCUUAAGGAAUUGAGCUGAGAGGGCAGUUGAGACCACUGCCGACCGUGAUACCUGAUCUGGAUAAUGCCAGCGGAGGGACAGUAAUAUUGGAGUAA
This 112-nucleotide non-coding RNA is filed under the name Desulfitobacterium metallireducens. RNAcentral describes it as "TPP sequence". It matches the Rfam family "TPP riboswitch aptamer (THI element)". Rfam says of the family: Vitamin B(1) in its active form thiamin pyrophosphate (TPP) is an essential coenzyme that is synthesised by coupling of pyrimidine and thiazole moieties in bacteria. RNAcentral also lists the same sequence under 1 other name. The record is from RNAcentral. Lineage: Bacteria; Bacillati; Bacillota; Clostridia; Eubacteriales; Desulfitobacteriaceae.